This 217-nucleotide long non-coding RNA is filed under the name Ananas comosus (pineapple). RNAcentral describes it as "long non-coding RNA (ACOM_LNC035203)". The record is from RNAcentral. Lineage: Eukaryota; Viridiplantae; Streptophyta; Magnoliopsida; Poales; Bromeliaceae.
UAUUCGCAUUUGUCACAUUAGAUGGAGGGUAUUAGAGAAAAAAGCUCUCUCUCUUUCUCUCAUCUACUCCCAAACACUCCCCUCACUCUCUCUCUCUCUCACUCUAAGCUCUUUCUCUCUCUCCCUCUCUUGAAGCAGGAAGAAGGAGGAGAAUGAGAGGAAGGAGAAGAAGGAAAAGAGAAAAAGAAGAAGGAGGAGGGCUUGGAGAGGAUCAUAU